UACGAAGGGGGCUAGCGUUGUUCGGAAUUACUGGGCGUAAAGCGCACGCAGGCGGAUUUAUAAGUCAGGGGUGAAAUCCCGGGGCUCAACCUCGGAAUUGCCUUUGAUACUGUCUAUCUUGAGUCCGGGAGAGGUGAGUGGAAUUCCUAGUGUAGAGGUGAAAUUCGUAGAGAUUAGGAAGAACACCAGUGGCGAAGGCGGCUCACUGGCCCGGUACUGACGCUCAUGUGCGAAAGAGUGGGGAGCAAACAGG
Molecule: ribosomal RNA, 253 nt
Filed under: uncultured bacterium
Lineage: Bacteria
Description: partial 16S ribosomal RNA
Rfam family: Bacterial small subunit ribosomal RNA
Source: RNAcentral